GUCUGGCUGGCUCAGUCGGAAAAGCGUGAGACUCUUGAUCUCAGGGUCAUGAGUUUGAGCCCCAUGUUGGGUG
Molecule: transfer RNA, 73 nt
Filed under: Felis catus (domestic cat)
Lineage: Eukaryota; Metazoa; Chordata; Mammalia; Carnivora; Felidae
Rfam family: tRNA
About the family: Transfer RNA (tRNA) molecules are approximately 80 nucleotides in length. Their secondary structure includes four short double-helical elements and three loops (D, anti-codon, and T loops).
Source: Rfam by way of RNAcentral